UUUGGAGAAGGUGCUUCGGGGGCGACGAUGGUCCAAGUCCCUUGGAACUGGGCGUCAUAGAGGGUGAGAAUCCCGUAUGCGGCCGUCCGUCAAUCCCAUGUGAAGCCCUUUCGACGAGUCGAGUUGUUUGGGAAUGCAGCUCUAAUUUGGUGGUAAAUUUCAUCUAAAGCUAAAUAUCUGCCAGAGACCGAUAGCGCAAAAGUAGAGUGAUCGAAAGAUGAAAAGCACUUUGAAAAGAGAGUUAAAAGUACGUGAAAUUGUUGAAAGGGAAGCGCUUGCAACCAGACUCAACAGCGGGGGCUCAACCUUCCUACGGGAUGGUGCACUCCCUCGCAGCUGGGCCAGCAUCGGUUUCGGCGGUGGGACAAAAGUCUCGGGAAAGUAGCUCUCUCCGGGGAGUGUUAUAGCCCGGGGCACAAUGCCACCAGCCGGGACCGAGGACCACGCAUUUGCUAGGAUGCUGGCGUAAUGGUUGCCAGCGACCCGUCUUGAAACACGGACCAAGGAGUCGACCAAUCGCGCGAGUCUUAGGGCGUUAAACCCUGGGGCGUAGUGAAAGCGAACGUAGGUGAGAGCCUUUGGGCGCAUCAUCGACCGAUCUUGAUGUCUUCGGAUGGAUUUGAGUACGAGCACGGUCGGUCGGACCCGAAAGGUACGCUUAAAUAACUUUGGUUUAGUUGACGUGACUGCUAACUUUUUGAUUCUAGAUGGUGAACUAUACGAGAAUAGGGUGAAGCCAGAGGAAACUCUGGUGGAGGCUCGCAGCGGUUCUGACGUGCAAAUCGAUCGUCAAAUUUUCGUAUAGGGGCGAAAGGUAUGAUCCAUCAUGCGUCCCCAAGUCUCUUUGAACGCCGUACUAACUUCCUUGGCAGACUAAUCGAACCAUCUAGUAGCUGGUUCCCGUCGAAGUUUCCCUCAGGAUAGCAGCAACGAAAAACAGUUUUAUUAGGUAGAGCAACGUUUAGAGGCCUUGGGGUAAUAAUUACCUCAACCUAUUCACGAACUUCGAAUAUGUAAGAAGUCCUUGUUACUUAAUUGAACGCGGAC
Molecule: ribosomal RNA, 1047 nt
Filed under: Platygramme caesiopruinosa
Lineage: Eukaryota; Fungi; Ascomycota; Lecanoromycetes; Ostropales; Graphidaceae
Description: eukaryotic LSU rRNA
Rfam family: Eukaryotic large subunit ribosomal RNA
Source: RNAcentral